RNAcentral lists this transfer RNA (69 nucleotides) under Sagmariasus verreauxi (green rock lobster). Its description in RNAcentral is "tRNA-Met". Lineage: Eukaryota; Metazoa; Arthropoda; Malacostraca; Decapoda; Palinuridae. The record is from RNAcentral.
CAAAAGAUAAGCUAAUUCAAGCUAAUGGGUUCAUACCCCGUCUAUGUGAACAAGAUUUCACUCUUUUUA